RNAcentral lists this ribosomal RNA (395 nucleotides) under uncultured eukaryote. RNAcentral describes it as "SSU rRNA". It matches the Rfam family "Eukaryotic small subunit ribosomal RNA", at positions 587 to 995 of the family's 1831-position model. The record is from RNAcentral.
AGCUCCAAUAGCAUAUAUUAAAGUUGUUGCAGUUAAAAGCUCGUAGUUGGAUUUCUGCGAAGAGUCAAUGUAAGGUCCAGUCCUGAUCAGCGACCUCCUUCGCAUCCUUCUGUUAUCACCACUCGGCAUUCACUUGCCGGUGGCUGACUCAGAGAAUUUACCUUGAGAAAAUUAGAGUGUUUCAGGCAGGCUAGGCCGGAAUACAUUAGCAUGGAAUAAUAGAAUAGGACUACGGUCUCGUUGUUGGUUUGAGGGACUGCAGUAAUGAUUAAUAGGGAUAGUUGGGGGCAUUAGUAUUCAAUUGUCAGAGGUGAAAUUCUCAGAUUUGUUAAAGACUAACUUAUGCGAAAGCAUUUGCCAAGGAUGUUUUCAUUAAUGCAAGAACGAAGUUAGAG